CUGAUCAUCACCUGUACGGAGAUCGGGUUCCACGGCCACCACUGCCUCGCCGAGAACUAGACUUCUUUAAUCUGUUCAUCCUGAUUCGAGAUUUGGGUAUGGAUUUGGGUUAAAGACUGUCGCUGGGAGGAGAGGGAUGCUAAGGUCAUGGGUGAUUGGGGGCGUACCUCAAUUCGGACCUGGAAUCCUUUUGUACAGCAGGCUGACGAACCUGGCACAGAGAUGACUGGGCGUCCUCUUCUCUGUUCCUAGUCCUUCCCUACUGGUGUGGUGUGGAGUCUGGGGGCGGUCGAUUUGUAUUCCCGUUUGUG
Molecule: long non-coding RNA, 311 nt
Filed under: Sorghum bicolor (sorghum)
Lineage: Eukaryota; Viridiplantae; Streptophyta; Magnoliopsida; Poales; Poaceae
Description: long non-coding RNA (SBIC_LNC015244)
Source: RNAcentral